UACGUAGGGCGCAAGCGUUGUCCGGAAUUAUUGGGCGUAAAGAGCUCGUAGGCGGCUUGUCACGUCGGAUGUGAAAGCCCGGGGCUUAACCCCGGGUCUGCAUUCGAUACGGGCAGGCUAGAGUGUGGUAGGGGAGAUCGGAAUUCCUGGUGUAGCGGUGAAAUGCGCAGAUAUCAGGAGGAACACCGAUGGCGAAGGCAGGUCUCUGGGCCACUACUGACGCUGAGAAGCGAAAGCGUGGGGAGCGAACAGG
Molecule: ribosomal RNA, 253 nt
Filed under: uncultured bacterium
Lineage: Bacteria
Description: partial 16S ribosomal RNA
Rfam family: Bacterial small subunit ribosomal RNA
Source: RNAcentral